AUUGAACGCUGGCGGCAUGCUUUACACAUGCAAGUCGAACGGUAACAGGCCGCAAGGUGCUGACGAGUGGCGAACGGGUGAGUAAUGCAUCGGAACGUGCCCAGUCGUGGGGGAUAACGCAGCGAAAGCUGCGCUAAUACCGCAUACGAUCUAUGGAUGAAAGCGGGGGACCGUAAGGCCUCGUGCGAUUGGAGCGGCCGAUGUCAGAUUAGGUAGUUGGUGGGGUAAAGGCUCACCAAGCCAACGAUCUGUAGCUGGUCUGAGAGGACGACCAGCCACACUGGGACUGAGACACGGCCCAGACUCCUACGGGAGGCAGCAGUGGGGAAUUUUGGACAAUGGGCGCAAGCCUGAUCCAGCAAUGCCGCGUGCAGGAAGAAGGCCUUCGGGUUGUAAACUGCUUUUGUACGGAACGAAACGGCUCUGGUUAAUACCUGGGGCUAACGACGGUACCGUAAGAAUAAGCACCGGCUAACUACGUGACAGCCGCCGCCGUAA
RNAcentral lists this ribosomal RNA (498 nucleotides) under uncultured bacterium. RNAcentral's name for it is "partial 16S ribosomal RNA". It matches the Rfam family "Bacterial small subunit ribosomal RNA", at positions 30 to 523 of the family's 1533-position model. The record is from RNAcentral.